ACGGGGUGCAGCAGGCGCGAAACCUUCACAAUGCUCGAAAGAGUGAUGAGGGUACUCCGAGUGUCUAUGCUUUGCAUAGUCUUUUCUUCAGCGUAAACAGUUGGAGGAAUAAGGGCUGGGCAAGACCGGUGCCAGCCGCCGCGGUAACACCGGCAGCCCAAGUGGUGACCGUUUUUAUUGGGCCUAAAGCGUUCGUAGCCGGAUAGGCAAGUCUUUGGGUAAAUCCUACGUCUUAAGCGUGGGAAUUCUAAGGAUACUACCUGUCAUGAGGCCGGGAGAGGCUAGAGGUACUUCAGGGGUAGGAGUGAAAUCUUGUAAUCCCUGUGGGACCACCAGUGGCGAAGGCGUCUUACCAGAACGGGUCCGACGGUGAGGGACGAAAGCUGGGGGCACGAACCGGAUUAGAUACCCGGGUAGUCCCAGCCGUAAACGAUGUUCGCUAGGUGUCAGGGACGGUGCGACCGUUUCUGGUGCCGUAGGGAAGCCGUGAAGCGAACCACCUGGGAAGUACGGCCCAAGGCUGAAAUUUUUAGGAAUUGGCGGGGGAGCAC
This 551-nucleotide ribosomal RNA is filed under the name uncultured archaeon. RNAcentral's name for it is "bacterial SSU rRNA". It matches the Rfam family "Archaeal small subunit ribosomal RNA", at positions 325 to 879 of the family's 1478-position model. The record is from RNAcentral.